This 326-nucleotide ribosomal RNA is filed under the name uncultured eukaryote. Its description in RNAcentral is "partial 18S ribosomal RNA". It matches the Rfam family "Eukaryotic small subunit ribosomal RNA", at positions 1470 to 1796 of the family's 1831-position model. The record is from RNAcentral.
CCCUUAGAUGUCCUGGGCCGCACGCGCGCUACACUGAACGGAUCAGCGCGUUUUCCCUUCCCGAGAGGGACGGGUAACCUGCUGAACCCCGUUCGUGGUAGGGAUCGGGGCUUGCAAUUAUUCCCCGUGAACCAGGAAUGCCCAGUAAGUGCAAGUCAUAAGCUCGCGUUGAUUACGUCCCUGCCCUUUGUACACACCGCCCGUCGCUACUACCGAUUGAACGUUUUAGUGAGGUACUCGGACUGAGCCUCAGAAGAUUCACGUCUUUUGUGCUGCUCGGGAAGAUUCCCAAACUUGAGCGUUUAGAGGAAGUAAAAGUCGUAACA